Molecule: long non-coding RNA, 1115 nt
Filed under: Piliocolobus tephrosceles (Ugandan red Colobus)
Lineage: Eukaryota; Metazoa; Chordata; Mammalia; Primates; Cercopithecidae
Description: lncRNA (ENSPTEG00000017599.1)
Source: RNAcentral
UGUUGAAAAAUAAUGUUUAUAUAAAAUUGACACAUCUCAAAAGAACCAUAUAAAAUAAUAGUUAUGUGUCUUGUUUAAAUAAUUUGAUAAAAUAUAAUACUUUAUAAUAAUUAGAGACAUAAAAUGUAUGUUAAUCAAAAUAUAAAAGAUUAUAAUUAUAACAUUAACAAAACGGAUUUGAAUAAUGCUAUAAAAAAUAAAUAUAUAAAUUAUGAGAACCACACGGAUGUUCAUAAAAAUAUGUCGAAUAUUUCAUCUGAUGAAUAUUAUAUAAUGCCAGGAGAAAGACAUGUAAAUGAUAUAUAUCUAAGUACUACUAUGGCAACUGCUAUGGCAACUACUACAACAACUGCUGCUGCAUCAACUGCUGCUACAACAAAUAAAUAUAACAAUAACCACAGCUGUGACCGUUUUAGCAAUAGUAAACACAAUGACACUUGUAGUAACACAACUUUGAUCAAUAGCGUCAACAACAAUGCAAGUGAAAGUAGUAGCAACAAUGACGAUAUAAACACACAUGAGGUACAUAAUAACAAGUAUAAUAAUUUUUUUAGAAAUGUUGAAAAAGGAAUAAAAUAUACAAAUCAGAAUUAUACCACAUUACCUAAACAAUACAAAUAUGAUACAGAAACAUGUGCUCACUCUGACUUCAUAAAGAUAAAUAGAAACGACAAUAUAGACAAUUACAAACACUAUUACCAUGAUUAUGAUAACUAUACGGAUAUUAUGUAUAAAUAUAACAAUGACAGAAACAGUGUAUAUAAAUACAACAGCGAUACCAGCUGUAACAAUAACAAAAGAGAAUAUUUCCAAUGUAGAGAAACUAGCACUGUUGAUAGUCGUUUUUCUGAUUAUAUGAUGAAAGAAGAAAAAAAUAAAAACUCACUAAAAAAUAAUAGUAACUCCCUAAAAAAUAAUAUUAACACAUUACCAUUACAUUAUUAUGAUAAAAUUUUAAAUAGUAAUUGUUCACUUAGUAAUGAUAAAAAAGAAAAAAACAUUUUUAGUAAUUUACAAAGUGAUACAUAUAACAGCACACAAAUCGAUAUAAACAAUAAUAAUAAUAGUACGAAGGGAUCCAAGAUAUAUCAAAUUUUUAGCAACUUAAAUAGGAA